This 501-nucleotide ribosomal RNA is filed under the name Lepidochitona salvadorensis. Its description in RNAcentral is "partial large subunit ribosomal RNA". It matches the Rfam family "Bacterial large subunit ribosomal RNA", at positions 1844 to 2597 of the family's 2925-position model. The record is from RNAcentral. Lineage: Eukaryota; Metazoa; Mollusca; Polyplacophora; Chitonida; Tonicellidae.
AAUAAAGAGUCCCGCCUGCCCAAUGAAUUUAUAGAUAAUUCUUAUUUUAAUGGCCGCAGUAUUCUGACUGUGCUAAGGUAGCGUAAUCCAAUGUCUCUUAAUUAGAGGCCCAGUAUGAAUGGCUAGACGAGGAUAAUACUGUCUCUUUUUAUAUUAUAUAAAAAUUGUUAUUAAAGUGAAAAAACUUUAAUUUUUUCAAAAGACGAAAAGACCCUGUAGAGUUUGAAAUUGAUCUUAAUUUUUUUUGUAGAAAAUAUGAAAAUUAAUGAAAUAUUUUUUGUUGGGGCAACAAAGGAGUAUGUAAAAACUCUUUAAAUUAAAAUAAUUGAUAAAUUGAUUGAUCUGUUAUAUGAAUAAAAGAAAAAGUUACCUCAGGGAUAACAGCGUAAUUUUUCUGGAGAGUACUAAUUGAAGGAAAAGAUUGCGACCUCGAUGUUGGAUUGGAAAUACUUUUAUAGUGCAGCAGCUCAAAAAGUGGGUCUGUUCGACCUUUAAUAUUCC